This is a long non-coding RNA of Monopterus albus (swamp eel), 720 nucleotides long. RefSeq lists it as uncharacterized. The record is from RefSeq and is a predicted model, not a curated record. The transcript is spliced from 4 exons. Lineage: Eukaryota; Metazoa; Chordata; Actinopteri; Synbranchiformes; Synbranchidae.
GAAACCCCUGGCAGGGAGACACACUGUCUCAGUUGGACGGUGCGAUCCAGCAGUCCAUGAUAGGUCAGCGGCUGUGGGCCUGGCCCCUGAACGGGAACGACUGGAGAGCAUAGGAUUGCCUUCAGCGGUGGUGCGCACUAUUCAGUACGCCAGAGCUCAGUCAACAACGAUGUCUUACAGUGCAAAGUGGUCAGCAUUUCUGCGAUGGUGCAUGGAGAAAGGCACAGCUCCCACCUCCUGCCCGGUGGCUGAAGGGCUGACGUUUCUACAGAUGUUACAUCCGUGGUUCACGCCGUUCCCAGCACCUCGUCAGCUGGCACUGGGGGUACCGCGGACUCCGCCCCUACACAAGUAGAUGCACAAUCUCGGCGACGAGGCACACCUGUACCAAUCAUCGGAGCAGUGCUUAGGCACGGCAUUGGUGUGUCCUCAUCGCCAGACAAUACUCUCGUCUUGCUACCAGCAUCUUUGCAAAAUCUACGCUCCCGAUCUCUUCAACCGCAUGUGCUGAACCACUCCACAGAACUUUUUCCUUUCGACCUGAUUCACGGCACACAACGUUGAUCCUGUUCUGUGUUUCACUGUAAUGGCUCUUCAGAACCUGCUGAAUACAAAGCCAGAGACCCCGCCUCUGACCCACUAUGCCUCUGCUGUGAUGCUGUUCUCACACCAAACUUUGACCAUGCAACUGAAAGCAGUGGUUCAGGAGCCACAUGAAAA